AGCUCCAAUAGCGUAUAUUAAAGUUGCUGCAGUUAAAAAGCUCGUAGUUGCAUUUCCGAGGCAAGGGAUUAGUCCGACCUUUGGUGGGUAUUUAAUCCUCUUUCCUCGUCCUUGAGUGGUGCUUCUUGGUAUUAAGUUAUCGAGGAGAUAGCCGCUCAUCGUUUACUGUGAGAAAAUUAGAGUGUUCAAAGCAGGCUUAUGCCGUUGAAUAUAUUAGCAUGGAAUAAUAAGAUAGGACCUAGGUACUAUUUUGUUGGUUUGAGAACCAAGGUAAUGAUGAAUAGGGACAGUUGGGGGUAUUCGUAUUCAGUUGUCAGAGGUGAAAUUCUUAGAUUUACGGAAGACGAACUACUGCGAAAGCAUUUACCAAGGAUGUUUUCA
Molecule: ribosomal RNA, 381 nt
Filed under: uncultured marine Chaetocerotaceae
Lineage: Eukaryota; Bacillariophyta; Thalassiosirophyceae; Chaetocerotales; Chaetocerotaceae
Description: SSU rRNA
Rfam family: Eukaryotic small subunit ribosomal RNA
Source: RNAcentral